UACGUAGGUGGCAAGCGUUGUCCGGAAUUAUUGGGCGUAAAGCGCGCGCAGGUGGUUUCUUAAGUCUGAUGUGAAAGCCCACGGCUCAACCGUGGAGGGUCAUUGGAAACUGGGGAACUUGAGUGCAGGAGAGAAGAGUGGAAUUCCACGUGUAGCGGUGAAAUGCGUAGAGAUGUGGAGGAACACCAGUGGCGAAGGCGACUCUUUGGCCUGUAACUGACACUGAGGCGCGAAAGCGUGGGGAGCGAACAGG
RNAcentral lists this ribosomal RNA (253 nucleotides) under uncultured bacterium. RNAcentral describes it as "partial 16S ribosomal RNA". It matches the Rfam family "Bacterial small subunit ribosomal RNA", at positions 524 to 776 of the family's 1533-position model. The record is from RNAcentral.